This is a long non-coding RNA of Lathyrus oleraceus (garden pea), 607 nucleotides long. RefSeq lists it as uncharacterized. The record is from RefSeq and is a predicted model, not a curated record. The transcript is spliced from 3 exons. Lineage: Eukaryota; Viridiplantae; Streptophyta; Magnoliopsida; Fabales; Fabaceae.
AAAAUACUUUAGAAAUGUCAUUUUAAUAACAAAAUAACAUCAUUCAAUCAACGUGAGCCUGGGUUUUCUUUUCUAUUGACGGAUCUCUCGUGAUCGAACAAAACCUAUACACUGGUUAUUUCGAUUUCUUGCGUUUUCUACCAUGGCACGAGAGCAACACUCAUUGGCGCCACCGUGGGCACUCGACGCAGGACCGUUAUUUCUCGUUCUUCUAAUAGCAGCUCAUGUUCUCGGACUGGUAUAUUGGAUUUAUAGAUUAGCGACUCAGAAACAACAGCAACAGAGGCGGAAGGCUCACUGAAGGAGAAGUAACAAGUUUGCAACCUUGGAGAAAGAAAUUUUGCAGCUGACUGCUUUGGGGAAAUUGGCAAUGCUCGGAAUCGGCAAACUAUAAAUUUGAUGAUUUUUCUUUAGGUCUUCUAUAUGAUUGUUGAAGUAGAGAAUCUAUACUAAGAGAUUUAUAUUUGGUCCUUAUGCUAGCUAGCAUCCUUUUGGCUUUUGGUAACUGAAACUCAAAUUUACUAAUGUUGUAUUUUCUCCUACUUUUGUAUAAGCAAAUUUUGAAUUUUAGAUUUGUUCAAUAAAUGAUAAAUUUAGAUUUUAUAAA